RNAcentral lists this ribosomal RNA (403 nucleotides) under uncultured bacterium. RNAcentral's name for it is "bacterial SSU rRNA". It matches the Rfam family "Bacterial small subunit ribosomal RNA", at positions 355 to 774 of the family's 1533-position model. The record is from RNAcentral.
UGGGGAAUCUUCCGCAAUGGACGAAAGUCUGACGGAGCAACGCCGCGUGGGUGACGAAGGUUUUCGGAUCGUAAAACCCUGUCAAGAAGGAAGAAAAAAGACGGUACUUCUGAAGGAAGCCCCGGCUAACUACGUGCCAGCAGCCGCGGUAAUACGUAGGGGGCAAGCGUUGUCCGGAAUUACUGGGCGUAAAGAGCACGUAGGCGGUAACCUAAGUCAGAUGUGAAAGACCAGGGCUUAACCGGGACACUGCCAUUGAAACUGUCGAUCUAGAGUGUACAAGAGGUAAGCGGAAUGCGUGGUGUAGCGGUGAAAUGCAUAGAUAUCACGCAGAACCCCGAUUGCGAAGGCAGCUUACUGGUGUACAACUGACGCUGAGGCACGAAAGCGUGGGUAUCAAACA